CUGAAUAACUUUGCUGAUCACACGGUCCUAGCACCGGUGACAUAUCUUUCAAGUGUCUGCCCUAUCAACUUUCGAUGGUAGUUUAUGUGCCUACCAUGGUGGUAACGGGUAACGGAGAAUAAGGGUUCGACUCCGGAGAGGGAGCCUGAGAAAUGGCUACCACAUCCAAGGAAGGCAGCAGGCGCGCAAAUUACCCACUCUCAGAACGAGGAGGUAGUGACGAAAAAUAACGAGACGGUUCUCUAAGAGGCCCGUCAUCGGAAUGGGUACAAUUUAAACCCUUUAACGAGGAUCUAUUGGAGGGCAAGUCUGGUGCCAGCAGCCGCGGUAAUUCCAGCUCCAAUAGCAUAUACCAAUACUGUUGCUGUUAAAAA
This 374-nucleotide ribosomal RNA is filed under the name Nematoda sp. Its description in RNAcentral is "SSU rRNA". It matches the Rfam family "Eukaryotic small subunit ribosomal RNA", at positions 252 to 625 of the family's 1831-position model. Lineage: Eukaryota; Metazoa; Nematoda. The record is from RNAcentral.